AAAAUUAAAAUGCAAAAUUUUGUAAUAAUUCCGAGGAGACCAAAAUUUUCAGAAAUUUCAAAA
RNAcentral lists this small RNA (63 nucleotides) under Caenorhabditis elegans. RNAcentral's name for it is "Unclassified non-coding RNA F42A6.11". The record is from RNAcentral. Lineage: Eukaryota; Metazoa; Nematoda; Chromadorea; Rhabditida; Rhabditidae.